AAAAAGUUUUGGUUUUGAAGAGCUUUGGUUUUCCUGAGCUCAUACAUGCUUUCCUGCCAUUGCCUUUCGACAUCCGUCUCCAGGGCUCCAGUUUCCUCAGCCUCCAGCAGACUUGCACCUGCAGCUCUCCAGUGAGCCUCCAGGUCUUCCACCUUGGACUGGUGCUGACUCCUUGACCCUUCUAGUGGUGUGACUUUCAGCUUCUUGGCCCGAGCAGCUACCGGAUCCCUGGCUGUCCAAUGUCCAGAUGGCCCCUUCUGCCUCUGCUUCUGCAGGGGGCACUGUGGACCCCACUUCUAAUCCUGUGAGCUCUCUAUGUCUUCAUGUUUUUAAUACACAUCUGCAAUAACUCUGUGAAAGAAAGGAAGUUCUCCUACAUUCUCUCAGUAUUAGGACUGCGUCUGAGAGACUUCACAUUGACAUUCGUACUGUGCAAGACAGCCCUCAGUGCUUCCUUCUCAUCUCACACGAUACUUACUGGCUUGAACAGUUUGGGUCACUUGUUUCCACUUUCUGUCCCAUCAUUGGAAUUUGUGUGACUCUUCCUUCGG
RNAcentral lists this long non-coding RNA (551 nucleotides) under Heterocephalus glaber (naked mole-rat). Its description in RNAcentral is "lncRNA (ENSHGLG00000031962.1)". The record is from RNAcentral. Lineage: Eukaryota; Metazoa; Chordata; Mammalia; Rodentia; Bathyergidae.